This 503-nucleotide ribosomal RNA is filed under the name uncultured bacterium. RNAcentral's name for it is "partial 16S ribosomal RNA". It matches the Rfam family "Bacterial small subunit ribosomal RNA", at positions 30 to 523 of the family's 1533-position model. The record is from RNAcentral.
AUUGAACGCUGGCGGCAGGCUUAACACAUGCAAGUCGAGCGGGGUGAUGGUGCUUGCACUAUCACUUAGCGGCGGACGGGUGAGUAAUGCUUAGGAAUCUGCCUAUUAGUGGGGGACAACAUCUCGAAAGGGAUGCUAAUACCGCAUACGUCCUACGGGAGAAAGCAGGGGAUCACUUGUGACCUUGUGCUAAUAGAUGAGCCUAAGUCGGAUUAGCUAGUUGGUGGGGUAAAGGCCUACCAAGGCGACGAUCUGUAGCGGGUCUGAGAGGAUGAUCCGCCACACUGGGACUGAGACACGGCCCAGACUCCUACGGGAGGCAGCAGUGGGGAAUAUUGGACAAUGGGGGGAACCCUGAUCCAGCCAUGCCGCGUGUGUGAAGAAGGCCUUAUGGUUGUAAAGCACUUUAAGCGAGGAGGAGGCUUACCUAGUUAAUACCUGGGAUAAGUGGACGUUACUCGCAGAAUAAGCACCGGCUAACUCUGUGCCAGCCGCCGCCGUAA